CAGUAACGGCGAGUGAAGCGGCAACAGCUCAAAUUUGAAAUCUGGCUCUUUCGGGGUCCGAAUUGUAAUUUGUAGAGAGUGCUUCGGGCGAGACCUCGGUCUAAGUCCAUUGGAACAUGGUGUCAUAGAGGGUGAGAAUCCCGUAUGCGACCGUGGCUCGAGCCCAUGUGAAGCCUCUUCGACGAGUCGAGUUGUUUGGGAAUGCAGCUCAAAACGGGUGGUAAAUUUCAUCUAAAGCUAAAUACUGGCUGGAGACCGAUAGCGCACAAGUAGAGUGAUCGAAAGAUGAAAAGCACUUUGGAAAGAGAGUCAAACAGUACGUGAAAUUGUUGAAAGGGAAGCGCUUGCAACCAGACCUGCCCGUAGGCGAUCAGCCGCUGUUCUCAGCGGUGCACUCGCUCUGCGAUCAGGCCAGCAUCGGUUUCGGCGGUCGGAUAAAGGCCUUGGGAAUGUAGCUUCCCUUCGGGGAAGUCUUAUAGCCCUCGGUGCAAUGCGGCCAGCCGGGACCGAGGACCGCGCUUCGGCUAGGAUGCUGGCGUAAUGGUUGUAAGCGACCCGUCUUGAAACACGGACCAAGGAGUCUAACAUCUAUGCGAGUGUUUGGGUGUCAAACCCAUACGCGGAAUGAAAGUGAACGGAGGUGAGAACCCUUAAGGGCGCAUCAUCGACCGAUCCAGAUGUCUUCGGAUGGAUUUGAGUAUGAGCAUAGCUGUUGGGACCCGAAAGAUGGUGAACUAUGCCUGAAUAGGGUGAAGCCAGAGGAAACUCUGGUGGAGGCUCGCAGCGGUUCUGACGUGCAAAUCGAUCGUCAAAUUUGGGUAUAGGGGCGAAAGACUAAUC
Molecule: ribosomal RNA, 840 nt
Filed under: Xanthoparmelia coloradoensis
Lineage: Eukaryota; Fungi; Ascomycota; Lecanoromycetes; Lecanorales; Parmeliaceae
Description: eukaryotic LSU rRNA
Rfam family: Eukaryotic large subunit ribosomal RNA
Source: RNAcentral